AUACGGAGGAUCCGAGCGUUAUCCGGAUUUAUUGGGUUUAAAGGGUGCGCAGGCGGCCAUUUAAGUCAGCGGUUAAAUCGUGGGGCUCAACCCCACUCUGCCGUUGAUACUGGGUGGCUUGAUUGCGGUCGAGGUUGGCGGAAUUCGUUGUGUAGCGGGGAAAUGCAUAGAUAUGACGAAGAACACCGAUUGCGUAGGCAGCUGACCAGACCGCAAAUGACGCUCAUGCACGAAAGUGCGGGGAUCGAACAGGAUUAGAUACCCUGGUAGUCCGCACAGUAAACGAUGAAUACUUGUUUUCGGCGAUAUAAUGUCGGAGGCAAAGCGAAAGCGAUAAGUAUUCCACCUGGGGAGUACGCCGGCAACGGUGAAACUCAAAUGAAUUGACGGGG
RNAcentral lists this ribosomal RNA (392 nucleotides) under uncultured bacterium. Its description in RNAcentral is "partial 16S ribosomal RNA". It matches the Rfam family "Bacterial small subunit ribosomal RNA", at positions 523 to 918 of the family's 1533-position model. The record is from RNAcentral.